RNAcentral lists this long non-coding RNA (306 nucleotides) under Piliocolobus tephrosceles (Ugandan red Colobus). RNAcentral's name for it is "lncRNA (ENSPTEG00000012069.1)". Lineage: Eukaryota; Metazoa; Chordata; Mammalia; Primates; Cercopithecidae. The record is from RNAcentral.
ACAUAUUCUUUCAUUUUUUUUAUUAUUUUUAUUAACAUUAUUGUUUAUAGUAUUAUAAUUAUUGUUAGUCGUCCCAGUUGUAGUAGAAGUAAUAGAUAUAAUGUCGUGUUCUUGUUUUGUAACACUACAGCUGUGUUUUCUUUCUUUUUUACAAUUAUUUUCGUUUUUUUUUUUUUUUUUUUUUUUUUUUUUUUUUUUUUUUUUUUUUUUUUUUUUUUUUUUUAUUUAUUACCAAUUAUAAUGAAUAAAUAUUUUGCUUUAAACAAAAAACAAAAAAACAAAAACAAAAACAAAAACAAAAACAAA